UACGAAGGGUGCUAGCGUUGUUCGGAAUCACUGGGCGUAAAGCGCGCGUAGGCGGCCAUGCAAGUCAGAGGUGAAAGCCCGGGGCUCAACCCCGGAAUUGCCUUUGAAACUGCAUGGCUGGAGUAUCGGAGGGGAGUGCGGAAUUCCUAAUGUAGAGGUGAAAUUCGUAGAUAUUAGGAGGAACACCGGUGGCGAAGGCGGCACUCUGGACGAAUACUGACGCUGAGGCGCGAAAGCGCGGGGAUCAAACAGG
Molecule: ribosomal RNA, 253 nt
Filed under: uncultured bacterium
Lineage: Bacteria
Description: partial 16S ribosomal RNA
Rfam family: Bacterial small subunit ribosomal RNA
Source: RNAcentral